Molecule: microRNA precursor, 83 nt
Filed under: Procavia capensis (Cape rock hyrax)
Lineage: Eukaryota; Metazoa; Chordata; Mammalia; Hyracoidea; Procaviidae
Description: miRNA (ENSPCAG00000019144.1)
Source: RNAcentral
GGGCCUUGUGUGUGUGUGUGUGUGUGUGUGUGUGUGUGUGUGUGUGUGUGCGCGCACGCGUGCAUGUGUGUGCGCACACGUAC